This 412-nucleotide ribosomal RNA is filed under the name Brevundimonas sp. VA2-50. RNAcentral's name for it is "bacterial SSU rRNA". It matches the Rfam family "Bacterial small subunit ribosomal RNA", at positions 19 to 477 of the family's 1533-position model. Lineage: Bacteria; Pseudomonadati; Pseudomonadota; Alphaproteobacteria; Caulobacterales; Caulobacteraceae. The record is from RNAcentral.
CCGGCUCAGAGCGAACGCUGGCGGCAGGCCUAACACAUGCAAGUCGAACGGACCCUUCGGGGUUAGUGGCGGACGGGUGAGUAACACGUGGGAACGUGCCUUUAGGUUCGGAAUAGCUCCUGGAAACGGGUGGUAAUGCCGAAUGUGCCCUUCGGGGGAAAGAUUUAUCGCCUUUAGAGCGGCCCGCGUCUGAUUAGCUAGUUGGUGAGGUAAUGGCUCACCAAGGCGACGAUCAGUAGCUGGUCUGAGAGGAUGACCAGCCACAUUGGGACUGAGACACGGCCCAAACUCCUACGGGAGGCAGCAGUGGGGAAUCUUGCGCAAUGGGCGAAAGCCUGACGCAGCCAUGCCGCGUGAAUGAUGAAGGUCUUAGGAUUGUAAAAUUCUUUCACCGGGGACGAUAAUGACGGUA